This 501-nucleotide ribosomal RNA is filed under the name uncultured bacterium. RNAcentral's name for it is "partial 16S ribosomal RNA". It matches the Rfam family "Bacterial small subunit ribosomal RNA", at positions 30 to 523 of the family's 1533-position model. The record is from RNAcentral.
AUUGAACGCUGGCGGCAGGCUUAACACAUGCAAGUCGAGCGGGGGAAGGUAGCUUGCUACCGGACCUAGCGGCGGACGGGUGAGUAAUGCUUAGGAAUCUGCCUAUUAGUGGGGGACAACAUCUCGAAAGGGAUGCUAAUACCGCAUACGUCCUACGGGAGAAAGCAGGGGAUCUUCGGACCUUGCGCUAAUAGAUGAGCCUAAGUCGGAUUAGCUAGUUGGUGGGGUAAAGGCCUACCAAGGCGACGAUCUGUGGCGGGUCUGAGAGGAUGAUCCGCCACACUGGGACUGAGACACGGCCCAGACUCCUACGGGGGGAAGCAGUGGGGAAUAUUGGAAAAUGGGGGGAACCCUGAUCCAGCCAUGCCGCGUGUGUGAAGAAGGCCUUAUGGUUGUAAAGCACUUUAAGCGAGGAGGAGGCUACUCUAGUUAAUACCUAGGGAUAGUGGACGUUACUCGCAGAAUAAGCACCGGCUAACUCUGUGCCAGCCGCCGCCGUAA